GAAAUGCGAUAAGUAAUGUGAAUUGCAGAAUUCAGUGAAUCAUCGAAUCUUUGAACGCACAUUGCGCCCGCCAGUAUUCUGGCGGGCAUGCCUGUCCGAGCGUCAUUUCAACCAUCAAGCCCCCGGGCUUGUGUUGGGGACCUGCGGCUGCCCGCAGGCCCUGAAAACCAGUGGCGGGCUCGCUGUCACACCGAGCGUAGUAGCAAUCACCUCGCUCAGGGCGUGCUGCGGGUUCCGGCCGUUAAACAGCCUUACAAAACCCAAGGUUGACCUCGGAUCAGGUAGGAAGACCCGCUGAACUUAAUC
RNAcentral lists this unclassified non-coding RNA (306 nucleotides) under plant metagenome. RNAcentral's name for it is "partial contains 5.8S ribosomal RNA, internal transcribed spacer 2, and large subunit ribosomal RNA". The stretch from base 1 to 105 matches the Rfam family "5.8S ribosomal RNA", at positions 50 to 154 of the family's 154-position model. The record is from RNAcentral.